This is a non-coding RNA of Aegilops tauschii subsp. strangulata, 446 nucleotides long. The record is from RefSeq and is a predicted model, not a curated record. NCBI's taxonomy places the organism in Eukaryota, Viridiplantae, Streptophyta, Magnoliopsida, Poales, Poaceae.
GCCCCCGGUCACGUUGGUACACACGUCCUCCCGGCUCCAUCUCCUCCUCCCCGUCUCCUGCUGGUUGAGGGUCUGAUAAUGGACGUAAGACAGCUGUUGGAGAGGAGAUUAAAAUAUGGAAGAUAGCAGCAGACGAGGUAGUUGAAGCUGGUAGAUCAAUUGAGCAAGAGCCCCAGAUCCAGCAAACAAUGCAGAGAAACAAGAGUAACAAUUACGUAGUAGUAGAUCAUACAAAGGACUGGUGAGGAUUCAUAAGUCAUGGUCCAAGAACGAAGCACGACAUGUCCGCAUAAUAGCAGAAGCAGACCAAGAGAAGAAAGUUGAUUAGCAGCUCAACAACGACGCCUGCUAAGAGAGGAUCAACAUGUGCAUCCUUUUGCCAUUUCGGAAGCCCCACAUCCUCGAGCUUGACACGCUCAUCUACCAUCCUGGCCGACGUCCUCGCC